This 465-nucleotide ribosomal RNA is filed under the name Vreelandella stevensii. RNAcentral's name for it is "partial 16S ribosomal RNA". It matches the Rfam family "Bacterial small subunit ribosomal RNA", at positions 338 to 795 of the family's 1533-position model. The record is from RNAcentral. Lineage: Bacteria; Pseudomonadati; Pseudomonadota; Gammaproteobacteria; Oceanospirillales; Halomonadaceae.
CCUACGUGUUGCAGCAGUGGGGAAUAUUGGACAAUGGGCGAAAGCCUGAUCCAGCCAUGCCGCGUGUGUGAAGAAGGCCUUCGGGUUGUAAAGCACUUUCAGUGGGGAAGAAAGCCUUGGGGCUAAUACCCUCGAGGAAGGACAUCACCCACAGAAGAAGCACCGGCUAACUCCGUGCCAGCAGCCGCGGUAAUACGGAGGGUGCGAGCGUUAAUCGGAAUUACUGGGCGUAAAGCGCGCGUAGGCGGUCUGAUAAGCCGGUUGUGAAAGCCCCGGGCUCAACCUGGGAACGGCAUCCGGAACUGUCAGGCUAGAGUGCAGGAGAGGAAGGUAGAAUUCCCGGUGUAGCGGUGAAAUGCGUAGAGAUCGGGAGGAAUACCAGUGGCGAAGGCGGCCUUCUGGACUGACACUGACGCUGAGGUGCGAAAGCGUGGGUAGCAAACAGGAUUAGAUACCCUGGUAGUC